ACGGGUGCGUAACGCGUGGGAAUCUGCCCUUAGGUUCGGAAUAACAGCUGGAAACGGCUGCUAAUACCGGAUGAUGACGAAAGUCCAAAGAUUUAUUGCCUGAGGAUGAGCCCGCGUUGGAUUAGGUAGUUGGUGGGGUAAAGGCCUACCAAGCCGACGAUCCAUAGCUGGUCUGAGAGGAUGAUCAGCCACACUGGGACUGAGACACGGCCCAGACUCCUACGGGAGGCAGCAGUGGGGAAUAUUGGACAAUGGGCGAAAGCCUGAUCCAGCAAUGCCGCGUGAGUGAUGAAGGCCCUAGGGUUGUAAAGCUCUUUUACCCGGGAAGAUAAUGACUGUACCGGGAGAAUAAGCCCCGGCUAACUCCGUGCCAGCAGCCGCGGUAAUACGGAGGGGGCUAGCGUUGUUCGGAAUUACUGGGCGUAAAGCGCACGUAGGCGGCUUUGUAAGUCAGAGGUGAAAGCCUGGAGCUCAACUCCAGAACUGCCUUUGAGACUGCAUCGCUUGAAUCCAGGAGAGGUCAGUGGAAUUCCGAGUGUAGAGGUG
This 546-nucleotide ribosomal RNA is filed under the name uncultured bacterium. RNAcentral describes it as "bacterial SSU rRNA". It matches the Rfam family "Bacterial small subunit ribosomal RNA", at positions 102 to 683 of the family's 1533-position model. The record is from RNAcentral.